GGCAGUGCAAGAGGGCAUGGAUUCAGGGAAAUAUGAAAAAUUGAGGCUUUAAUGCAAUCCAUCUAUCAUAAAAGGGAUGCGGUUUUCCUAGGUUGCUCCUGCUGGUCUCCGACUCCUGAGCUCAAGUAAUCCUCCUGCCUCAGCCUCCCAAAGUGCUAGGAUUGCAGGUAAAUGAUGUCUUGCUUGGGAAUAGAACCCUUGGAGCGUGUAGAUGGGAUACCACGGUCUUCCAGCUCCUAUUGCAGGUCAUCAUUAUUGCUGUCAUCAAUUGCCUGUGAGGGGCAUUGGCCUGAGGCUGUUUCCUACUCUCUCCUUGAGCCUUUAUGGAUAUAUUUUGGAUAAAUGGACCUAGACCAACAUGGCAAAAGUCUGAACACAGAGGCUAAGUUUUUCACUCAGGAACCAGCUCCAGGGUUCCUUCGUUCUUCCUGAAAGUCUUGGACCCUCAGCAUCCUUCCCUAGACUACUCUGUGGCCUAGAUUCUGGGCUGCUUUGUGUGGGAAAGCUGGUGGCAGAUCAUGGAAAGACGGCCCAUCAUAGAACCAAACACACGUGAUCACAGGCAUGACGCAAAACAAUGAAGCUUGGUACCUUCCUCUCGCCACAGGAUGUUUGCAACUGCAGCAGCAGAGAAUGAGGAAAGCAGGAGUGUGAUGGAGUCAAGGAAAAAGAAGAAAGCAGUGUUAAACCGUCACUGCAGUGAUUCCAUUUAUGAAGAUCCUGGUACCUAGUCCAUCACUUACAGAAUCUAUACCACUCAUUGCCCUAGGAACAGUAUCUUGGGGGAAGCUCUGGACAUGAACAAAUGCUUUCAGG
This 816-nucleotide long non-coding RNA is filed under the name Homo sapiens (human). RNAcentral describes it as "long non-coding RNA NONHSAT203218.1". Lineage: Eukaryota; Metazoa; Chordata; Mammalia; Primates; Hominidae. The record is from RNAcentral.